CACGGGGGGAGCAAACGUUGUUCGGAAUCACUGGGCAUAAAGCGCACGUAGGCGGUCUGUUAAGUCAGGUGUGAAAGCCCCCGGCUCAACCGGGGAAUUGCAUUUGAUACUGGCAGGCUCGAGAACGGUAGGGGUGAGUGGAACUCCAGGUGGAGCGGUGAAAUGCGUAGAUAUCUGGAGGAACACCGGUGGCGAAAGCGGCUCACUGGACCGUCACUGACGCUGAGGUGCGAAAGCUAGGGUAGCAAACGGG
RNAcentral lists this ribosomal RNA (253 nucleotides) under uncultured bacterium. RNAcentral describes it as "partial 16S ribosomal RNA". It matches the Rfam family "Bacterial small subunit ribosomal RNA", at positions 524 to 776 of the family's 1533-position model. The record is from RNAcentral.